This 1098-nucleotide long non-coding RNA is filed under the name Equus caballus (horse). Its description in RNAcentral is "lncRNA (ENSECAG00000057256.1)". The record is from RNAcentral. Lineage: Eukaryota; Metazoa; Chordata; Mammalia; Perissodactyla; Equidae.
GUGGGAUGCCAGGGACGGUUCCACAAAAGGAGGGGCAGGCUCUCUUCCUCUCUCUCCGUUGUGGCCUGGGAGGAGAACGUGCCUGAAGCUCCAGCAGCCAUCCUGGACUGGGAGGUGACCUUGCAGACGGAAGCCACUCGCUGAAGACGUUGGAGCAGAAGGACAGAAGGAGAUGGGAUCCAAUGACUUCCUGUAACCAGCACGACAGCCCUGGGUGGCCGCCUCACGCCUCCUUUCUUAUUUUCAACAGAUACCAUUUUCGGAUGAUUGUCUGCAUGCCAGGCAUGGUGCUAUGGAUUAUAUAUGCGCUAUCUCAUUAAUUCUCAGAAAAAUCCAUGAAGUCGGCGCUGGAACUGUUGCCACUUUAUAGAAUCCACCAUGCUAUUCGGCUCAGAGAGGACAGAAUUGGCCACAUCCCACAUAGCUGGUAGGAGGCCAUGCUGGAUCUGGAUUCAGGUUUCUUGACUCCUGUUCCAAGUGUUUUUUCAUACUCUGCUGCUUCUGGAUCCAUGAACAUACGUCAGAUGGUGGGCGAUGUCCCUCUCCCUACACUGCAAACCCAGAGCUGCAGCCAAGAGCCCAGCUCGAGAUGCAGUACACCCUCUGGGCCUGGGUCUUGUCCCACCACCAACAUAACCUCUCAUUCACCCUUACAUACCUAACCUGUGACACAGGGACACACCCUGAAUGGGACCCAUCAGUUGUGGGCCGUGCUCUCCACCACAGGCCCAGCUCAUAGAAGCAAGCCCUAUACUACUUCGGGUGUGUGGUUUUUACUUUUUUAAAUGGUUGAAGAAAAAUAAUAUUUUGUGACACUCUGCUGCAAAUUAUAUGAAAUCCAAAUUUCAGUGUCCAUAAAUAAAGUUUUAUUGGCACACAGCCACACUCACUUGCUUACUUAUUGUCUAUGGCUGCUUGUGUGUUACAAUGGCAGAGCUGACCAGCUGCAAUAGGGGUCCAUGGCCUGUAAAGCUUAAAGUAUUUACCUUUUGGCCCUUGACAGAAAAAGUUCGCUGAUCCCUAUUCCAGACGAAAGAAAUCAAACCCCAACAGCACCAUCAUCCCCAUCUGGUGAUUCCUUCUCAAGCGGCCGAUUCC